Loxodonta africana (African savanna elephant) is the source of this 7976-nucleotide RNA transcript. It is a transcript of the gene named serine/arginine repetitive matrix 3, with no coding region annotated. Lineage: Eukaryota; Metazoa; Chordata; Mammalia; Proboscidea; Elephantidae. The record is from RefSeq and is a predicted model, not a curated record. The transcript is spliced from 3 exons.
UCCGGGCGAGGGGGCCUGCCGGCUCGGACCCCCUUGAGCUUGGCAAGCGGAUGACCAGAGAGGAGUUGAUUACUGUUCAGCCAGUUGGGCACAAAGCGUGGGAGGAACCCAGGUCUCCUGCCUGCCCCAAGGCACAUUGGUGUGGGAGGGGGCUUCUGUGGACAUUGGUAGGGGUCACAGUCCGGAGCAGAAUUCAAGGGACAAGAUCUCCCCAGGGUUGCACUUGGGCCCUGAACUGCCCCCUCCUCACCGUGCGUUUUUCCCACUCUGAGCCUUCCUCCUCCCCCUCUUUUGGACCCCUCCCCCAUCUCAGUCCCCUUGCUGCCACUGAGCUGCGCCGAGGAGAAUCUGUCCUUCCUACGCUAUGCUAGCACGGAAGUCUCAAAACUUCCCGUGGACCCACCCCUACUAAGGCACCUCCCUGAGCCCGUUGCUCCCUCAGAGACUCCACACCGACGUCGCCACUAAAAGCUGUUGCAAACUGUCCUUCAGGAGGGGCACAGACACCUGGAGACCCACAGCUGGGUGCUGGCAGAGGGGCAGGCACUCAGCCUUCCCCAGGUGCAGCCUCCCAUUUGAAACGUGAAAUGCAAGCUAUCUCUCUGUAUUUUUCUAUCUUCUAUGUUGUUCUAGAAUGUUGCUUUCGUGCGUGUUACUGUGGGGACCUUUCCUCGUAAAUGCAGAGAUGGUUUCUGAAUUUCAAAUGAACAUUAAUCAUAUACAUUCCUCUCCCGAUACUUAUUUUUUUUCCUUUGUAAUCAGAAUUUAAAAGGGAAGAUAACUCUAAAAAGACAGAACUCCCACAUCGGCAGCUCCUGCCAAAUCAGCAGCAGCAGCCAGCCUCUCAGUCCCAGGGCCGCGCUGGAACUGCCUCAGCUCUCAAAUUAGCAAAAGUGGUGUCGCCUGUACUUCUGUGUCCUCACUUAUAAUGAACCUUGGAGAGAAGCCGAGAGACCCAGGGAGGGGAAGAGACUUGUCCUGCCCGGGUCGCCCAGGGAGCUUCCUAGGUCAGUGAACUUCGUGUGUUCCCUCAGUUCAGUCUAGUAUAACAUGGCUGAGAAGGAUCCAGGAAUCUGGGCAUGGUGGGGACAGGGAAGGGGAAGCUGGUCAGUACCUUCAGUGUCAGGCCUGAGAGCCUGACGAGACCCUGCAGGACAGGGCUGAAGGCAGCUGAGAGUGUUCAGCUCAGGUGAGGGAAGGCCUCCAAGCCAUAGGCUCCAGGCAACAGAAAAGGUCCAGACAGCAGAUGUCUAGGGCAUGCUCCCAGCUCUCUCAAGUCCCUGGCACUGGGCCUGUCCACACUGAGAGACCAGAACACAGGUGGGCCUCAUGUUAUACAAGCCCACUCUGUACGAUUGCUGACCCUAAGCCCUCACGGUUUAUAUGUACAUCGGGAAAUGAUGAGGUACAGAGAGGGAAGGAACUUGCUCAGGGUCACAGGACAUGGGGUGGAAUGGUAAGAUGUGAAGCAGGAGACCUCAUGGGACAAGCCCUCCCAUCCAGUCUCCCCUGGUACCUUCAAUGACCUCCCUCCAGCCCCCAAGAGCACAGACUCGUGCUAGCCCUGCUCUCCCCCAGGCCCAGCACAUUGGCCAGAAAGGAUGUGCAGAGUUGGCAGUCUUAGAAACAGGGUCAUCUGCCUUGCUCCACCUGUCCCUGGGAUUAAAAGUGUCAGGGAAGCCUCAGAGGCGACACCACUGGGCAAGAGUGACAGAGAAGUCUUGUGAGCAAGGUCCAGGGAAGCUUUCUGGCCCAAAUUUCACCACAUAAUGGGCAUCCUAGGGUGACCCCAAAAAGAGAUGUCCAUGGCACUCCCUAACCUGCCUCAUCACAGGCCUCCCCGCCCAUUCCUAGGAAAGGGCAGUGAUCUCAGCUGGAGUCAGGGAGUCAGAAGAGGGGAACACCUUUGCAUUUCUGCUAGGAUGCUCCCCUUGUUUCCCAAUGCAAAACCAAAGACAAGAGAAAGGGAUUUUACUAAAAUGACGCUGAAGCCAGGGAUGAGGCUGAGUUGAGGCAGGAUCAGCCCUCCAAAUUGAGUCUGUGGCUGCCUUCCCUUUUAAAAUCUCAGUUCCCCUUCCACCGCAUCUGUCCUCUUGGAUUGGCCUUGUAAACAGCUUUCUUCUGUCUGUCGGAAUCCACCUUUCUCACUCUCUUCCUGUCUCUGUCUCUUGGUCUCUGUUUCCUUCUGUCUUUGUAUCUGUCUUUCCCUCUUUCCCCCUCUCUCCCUGUCUCUCCAUUUCUUCCUGUGUCUCCGUCUCUUUCUUCCUCUCCAUCUCUCUCUGCUAACAUGGACCUCUAUCCUCACACUGCCAGCUCCUUGUUCAGCCCACCGUGGUUCUGCUUCCAUCAACUGCUUCCUGCAUGCCCUCUGGAGGUUUUCUGUGGUUUAAAGAAUUAAGGAAAGCUUUGCUAUUGCUAUUGGAGCCCGUGGUUUUAAAAAAUAUAUAUAUAUAUAUAUAGAAAUGGCUGCACAAAAGCCCCUUCCCAUCCCUAGGGCGACCGGAAAGCCACACUGGCUGCCGGCUCAGAGGGGGCGCACAGUUUCGAGUCACUGUCUUUCUCCCAUUCUGCAUUCCCAUUGCGGAGACCUUCUUUUCUUUUUUAUUAUUGCAUUCCUGUCCCUGACCACUGAGAAGGUAGGUAUCCCCAGCUCAGCUGCGCGCUGCUUCCUCCCAUCUCCAGAUAAGCCCCGCCACUCUGCUUGGUUUGAAUGUGGUUUUCUUUCUCUCUCUUUCUCUCAGUCUCACUCUGGUUGGUUUUAUUCAUCUCCCCCCCCCCACCCCUUUCUUUCUUUCUUUUCCUGACUUCUCAUUUGUAACUUGCAUUUUCUCCAAAUGAGCUACAAAGCUGUGUUUCCUGGUUUGUCCUUUGGUUUCCUUGACUUUCCCCCAACGACGUUUCUGGUUCAUUCUUCCCUCCUUUCCACUUUCCUGCCCCUCCUCCUCUUUCUCUCUACCCUUCCCCCGUUCCCCUUCAAGCCCUCUCUUUCUCUCAUUUUGUUGUCCGAGUGCAUUUCUGUGUGGUUUAGCGGUCCAAGGUCGUGUUCCCUUCCUGAACGGUAUGCUACGGUUGAGCCGAUUUCAUUUCUGUUUCCUGAGCCCCUCACACCUGCCAGCCCCUGGGCUUUGGUUACCCCGCUGGCCUUCGGAGGGCCCACUUGGGCAAUCUCAAUGGCAGAUGGGCCUCUAGGCCUCCAGAGCCUGGAGGAAGUCUGGCUGAGGUUGGGCAUGAGGAAGGAGCCCCGUCCCACCCCCUUGGGCUGACUGGGCCAAGCCGAGCUUUGAGCUUCCAUGGGUCCUUCCCUGGCAGGAGGAUAGAGCUUAGGAUCCCCUCAGCGGGGCUCUGGGACAGCAGCUGGCAUCAGGCCAAACGUGUGAAUCUUUUGGAAGUAAUGAUAGUUUAACUGAAGGAAGUGGGCUGGCCAGGAGCAAGUGCUGCACUUAGCAAAGUCUGAGGGACAAUGUGGGGGGUGAAAAGGACUCUCAGCUCACCCACCACUGCCUGGGGCUCAGGCCUCUGAACUCUCCCCUAUGACCCAACCCAGGCAGGGGCUCCCUCAAUCCCUGGGUAGACCUUCCUAUCUUCUGGAUUUGAGCAGCUUAAUGUGGUCCCUCAGUACAAAAUGAGCAAGAAGGGACAGUCAGCUGGGGCCAGGCCUCCCAGGGUAUUGUGGCAGAGCCAGGCCCAAGUCCUGAGAUGUGUGACGCCCAGCCCAGUGCUCAUUCGGCCACAUUGAGGGUAUCAGAGUCAGGAGUAGACCCUCAGGGACCCCAUUUUCCCACCCCUGCCCCUUUAAACUGCUUUCUGUCCUGUCUGAAGUUUGGCAGACCAAUCCUCCCGAGGCUCAGUGGGCCAGCUAUACUGCCUCCCCUGCCCCAGUGUUGACCCCAGAGGCAGGUCCUGGGGCGUUCACCUACUCAGAACAUUCUCCUCAGCCUAGGUGGUGCUGGGAGGGCAGGCAAGGAAGUCGUUCCUCAGGGAGGGAGAUAGUGCUGUUGGUCUGACAGGGGAGACUAUCCCAGCCUGAGGUCAGAGUUGAGGCCCCGCCCUUAAGGAGUGCCUGAGACAUUCAGGGAACCAGAAGUGAGAGGCUUGAAUGCUGAGCUGGAGGGAGCUAGUGGUCUGAGCCCUGACAAAUGCUUACUUGUUUUUGUCCUUCAGAGUAUUGGGAUCUGGUGAGCACACCACUUGCCACUCUCUUCUGCUGUCUUUACCCCUUGACCCUCAAAAAUGUUUUACAAGAGUGAAAGGAAAAGAUCAGGUAGCAAGUGGCACCCAGGAGCGUAGGGGCUCCUGGGAGCAGGGCUGAGGCAGGCGAGGUUCUCCUUCACUUAUUCACUCCCUCAUUCAUGCACAGGCUAACAAGCGCUUGCUGAGCACCGCCUCUGUGCCAGGCUACCUGGGUGUCCCUGCCAGGAGAGAGGCAGGCAGGCCUGGGUCCACGGCCCUCACAUCCCAGGCUGGAGGACCAACCAAGAUCACUCAGCAUGAUGAGAGGGGAAAGCUCAGGCGUAGAAGAUGGGCACCCCUGCUUGUCGCAGUAGCUCCAGCCCUAGCAUAGGUCUUGGCCCAGAGUCCAUAUUGAAUGAAGGAAUGCAGAGUUCUGUGGGAUCACAGAGGAGCACACCUGACUCGGCCUGGGGGUCAGGAGAGGCUUUCUGGAGGCGGCAACCUCUGAGCCGAGGGUAAAGACACAACAGGCAUCAGCCAGGCAGUGAGUUGGGAUUUGCUUCCAGGUCCUGGUUCCCAGUUUUAGCACUCUGCCCACUUGCCUUGCUGCUUCCCCUAACCAAAGGCUUCUUGGAGGAGGGAUGCAGUGACUCCUUGGGUUAUGGGUUACUAUGCAUAGCCUCCUGAGGCACCCACUUAUUAACCUAGUUCUCUUUACAAUCUUUGACCACCCAGGGCUAAGGCAACCCAGGCAAGAGGAGUGGGAGUCACAAAGAAAGAGCAUGUUUCCUGGAGGAGGUGUUUGGAGGUCUCUGGCCACCACAGUCCUGUCCAGCUGUGAAAUCUCAUGGUUUCUAGGUUUGGCUCUUCCCUUAAUUCCUGGGACGAAUGAGACCCAGCCAAGCUGAGGACAAGGCUUGCCCUCUGGCAGGCUCAUGGUGAUCCCUUCUUGAGAGCUCCUGUAUGGAUGGGUGGAGAGGGACGUGAAACUGGCUCUAGGAGCCUCCCUCCUUGUCCCUCAGGGAAGGCUCUAUCUGCCACCCUACCCAGAAGCACCUUCCUUCCAUCCUCUGCCAUCCUGACACUUGGGGGAUACUCCAUAGGGCCUUCCUGCAUUGCUUUGACCCUGUUGGACUGUGAAGGGACCGCAAGUCAGUUGUACUCUGAAAAGAACUUCCAACCCCGACACAGGCCUAUCCAGCAAAGACCCAAUGUAUUCCCAUUUUACCAAUGGGGAAACUGAGGCCCCCAGAGUUAGAUCACCUUGAUAAGGUCCCACAGCAAACUGGCAGCAGGACUGAUUCCAGGGUGUUCCAUUUUGCCCAUCACUAUCAUCUUGGGCUGUGGUAGGCCAGUUGGCUUGGCAAGGAGGUGAGAGGGAAGUGAGGAAGUGCUUGGACAUCAAGACAUGCCAGGCAGGGAGUGUCCAGGCCAGCACAGGGGAUCUGGGCCCAGGGCUUGGACCUGAAUGGUUAGAGGUAGCAAUAUAGUGGGAAUGAGUAUCCUUUUUGUUGAACUGACCCUUUUUCUUCCUAACACUCCCACCCUACUUCCAGCCCAAGACCGUAGGAAAUAGAGACAGUUCUGUAGGGCCAAUGGGAAGGAACCUCAUUGACCCUGGUCUUCCUCUUCCAUUACCAGGCCCUUCUCUGAAUCAGAAGUGGCUGACUCAGAUCCAGAUUCUGGCUUGGAGCCAAGAUUUGCAUCCAGGUCCUUGUUCCCAACUUUAGUACUCUGCUCACUUGCCUGACUGCCUCCCCUGACCAAAGGAGCAGGCAGAGUCUUCUUGGAGGAGGGACGUAGCAACUCCUUGGGUUAUGGGUUACUAUGUGUUAGGUCCUGAGGCGCCCACUCACCCACCUAGUUCCCUGCACACUCUUUGACAACCGAGGAAUAAGGCAGAAACUGGACAUUUGAAGAGCCUGGUGACUUCUUUCUCAUUUGCCUCUUCUGAAGGAAAAAGGGUGCCAGCUAGUUUUGCCCUCUCAUCCAAAAAGCGUUCCAAAGGCUGGGGUCUGGACGCAGGCCCUUUUCUGGGACUCCUGGGUUUGGCCCUGGUCCUCGUAACAGUGUUUCUUCCUCCCACAGCAAACGGUAUUGAGACCCUAGUAGGUGGCAAAUUCUGUGAUAAAAACUGAGGUUAGAGCUGAAUCCGAACCAGAUCUGCACUGGAGGAGGUCAAAGUCAAGUUGGAUGGGGGAGAUGACAAGUGCAAUCAACUGUUACCAGAUAGAGACCCACAGACAGGAGGGGCCAGUCUGUGGAGGGAGGGGGAUGGGAGAGGGUGCUGGGGGCGGGAGGAUGCAGAGAAUUCUGGCAUAUUUGACCCGGAGGAGACAUUGGGAAGCAAAGCCCCACCCUCUCAUUUUGUGAAUGGGGAAACUGAGGCCCAGAACGAAGAUGUGACUUGGUCAGCAUCAUUCGGUGAGGUAGUGGCAGGCUCAGACUCCUGGUUCCCGACCAGGGCCCUUCUGACGGUACCUGGUGCCCUUUCUGGUUUUCUAUAUCCCAAUCCUUGUGUCCUAACUCUGCUUUUGGAAAAACACUUGAUAUCACUAUCCCAUGGUCACCCAAGAGGUGCCCGCUCAGGCCCAAGGAGCCGGGCGCUGCCAGUCCUUCCUCCAGAGGCGGCGUGGCCUCCUCUCAGGCCUAGAAUGGGGUGGUUGCGUUUUUCUCUCUCUCUCUCUAUCUCUCUUGCAUUUUUGUGAAUCUAAUGAUGAACUUAUGCUACCACACUUUUCCCUUCUUUUACACACCUUACCUACUAAAGGAGGAAGUGCCACUUUAUUGGUAAGUGGACGUUAACCAAGAGGGAAUUAAAAAUCAGAACUUUAAAAAAAAAAAGAAAAAAAGAAAAAGAAAAGAGAGAAACAGAAAGACAGUCGGGUGCUACUGACAGCUCCACAGCUCUCUGCAGGGCCGGAAAACAAAGAAAAAUGUUAACAGAAAAAUGUCAGUUCCCCAGGAGAUCAGACAUUGUUUUUUGAUUUCGGUAUCUAAUGACAUUUGUGGAUUUUGUUUUUGAUUUCUGUUUUUCCUCCCUUUCUUCGGUUCAGUUUUGAGUUCAGUUUGUCCCACCCCGCCCCACCCCCAUCUGUGUGCCGUGUGCCCCUCCAUCCCCUCGACCACCCCAUGCGCUGGGGGGCCAGGCCUGGCGGGCUGGCCCUGGCCCGACCUCCCGGCGCCCGCCCCUCUUUUCUCUGUGCCGGGAAUCGUUCGUCCCAUCGGGGAUGACGCAGCCCCGGUGCCCAUCCUGGUGCCCCCUCCCUUCUAACCACCCCCCCUCCCCCCACCGCUCCGUCCCUCUUGUGUUUUGCAUGCUGAGAAACUUGCAUGAAGCUGCACUGUUGAGGCCAGAAGGUGGACACUCAGGAGAGGCAGAGGCAGGGCAGGCGGGAACGUGUGUGCGAUGCUCCGGGACUGGCAGCCUCCGCCGGGGCCCGGUGAAAGCCCCUUCUCCUUCUCUCCCCCCACCCCACCCGCCCGUUCUGUCACCCUCAAUCUCUGUUCCUAUUCUUGCUCUUGUCUGUCCUCUCUCUGCCUCUCUUUUUUUCCUCUAUCUCCCUGUCUCCUUCUUUCUGCCUAACGUCUCCCUGGCUCCACUGGCGUCUCUCUCCUCUCCCUGCCUCUCUCUCUCUCUGUGUGUCUCUGCGCACCUUUCUCUUCUCUCGGAUUCCCAAUCUCCUCUGGUCUCUGGAUCUCUAUUUCCACCUCUCUCGGCUUCUGUCUGUCCAACUCUCCCUGUCUCUCCGUCAUUCUCUUCGUCGCCCUCUCCACUCCCUCCGUGCCCUCUCUGCCUCUCUCCC